GAGUUUGAUCAUGGCUCAGAUUGAACGCUGGCGGCAUGCCUUACACAUGCAAGUCGAACGGCAGCACGGGAGCUUGCUCCUGGUGGCGAGUGGCGAGCGGGUGAGUAAUGCAUCGGAACGUAUCCUGGAGUGGGGGAUAACGUAGCGAAAGUUACGCUAAUACCGCAUAUUCUGUGAGCAGGAAAGCGGGGGACCUUCGGGCCUCGCGCUCUUGGAGCGGCCGAUGUCGGAUUAGCUAGUUGGUGAGGUAAAGGCUCACCAAGGCGACGAUCCGUAGCAGGUCUGAGAGGAUGAUCUGCCACACUGGAACUGAGACACGGUCCAGACUCCUACGGGAGGCAGCAGUGGGGAAUUUUGGACAAUGGGGGCAACCCUGAUCCAGCCAUGCCGCGUGAGUGAAGAAGGCC
RNAcentral lists this ribosomal RNA (407 nucleotides) under bacterium enrichment culture clone ALO1_GLFRUDD03HBPHX. RNAcentral describes it as "bacterial SSU rRNA". It matches the Rfam family "Bacterial small subunit ribosomal RNA", at positions 9 to 416 of the family's 1533-position model. The record is from RNAcentral.